GAUGAACGCUGGCGGCGUGCCUAAUACAUGCAAGUCGAGCGAACAGACGAGGAGCUUGCUCCUCUGACGUUAGCGGCGGACGGGUGAGUAACACGUGGAUAACCUACCUAUAAGACUGGGAUAACUUCGGGAAACCGGAGCUAAUACCGGAUAAUAUAUUGAACCGCAUGGUUCAAUAGUGAAAGACGGUCUUGCUGUCACUUAUAGAUGGAUCCGCGCCGCAUUAGCUAGUUGGUAAGGUAACGGCUUACCGAGGCAACGAUGCGUAGCCGACCUGAGAGGGGGGUUCGGCACCACGGGACUGUGACACCGUCCCAGAUCCCUAGGGGAGGAAGCGUUAGGAAUCCUUCCGCAUGGGGCGAAGGCCGGACGGAGCAACGCGGCGGGGUUGAGGAAGGCCUUCGGUUCGUAAACCCUGUUUAUUGGGGAAGAACAAAUGGGUAAGUAACGAGGCACGUCUGGACGGUACCUAAUCAGAAGGCCCCGGCUAACUACGU
RNAcentral lists this ribosomal RNA (497 nucleotides) under uncultured bacterium. RNAcentral describes it as "partial 16S ribosomal RNA". It matches the Rfam family "Bacterial small subunit ribosomal RNA", at positions 28 to 506 of the family's 1533-position model. The record is from RNAcentral.